This is a long non-coding RNA of Phyllostomus hastatus (greater spear-nosed bat), 861 nucleotides long. RefSeq lists it as uncharacterized. NCBI's taxonomy places the organism in Eukaryota, Metazoa, Chordata, Mammalia, Chiroptera, Phyllostomidae. The transcript is spliced from 6 exons. The record is from RefSeq and is a predicted model, not a curated record.
AAGACUUGCGCGCUGGCGUGACUCUGUCCUCUCUCUCCGAGGCCGGCCGCGUGGCUGGGAGCCAUGGUGGGUUCUAUCCCGGCCCAGCGCGGCGAGCAGCUUCAGGCCUUUGGCAGGCCGGCCUUUGGCGGGUGCGGAGAUGGAACCAGACCUGCAGGCUGAAGCUUCGAAGUUAAAAACGUCGGCUAUGAACUUGGAAAAAAGUCACAUGAACACUGUCACCCUCAGAUGCUGAGUGUAAGGGUCUUCGUGAUGAGAUUUCUGUCGAUGGGAUGGUCAUAGCCUUGGUUUCUGAGGCUGAAUCGGACCCCGCACCCGCGCCAACCAGCAGUGACCAGCGCCGUGUCAGCCACGAUGUCUGCAGUGAGGCGCAGAGCUGACCUGCUUUGCCUGAAGCAAGAGAAACUGUCCCCGUCCCGUCCUUUGUGAGUUUUCUGCUUCUAGCUUGCAUGUCCCUAAGAAGCCCCACCGGGCUGUGUUCUUAAAAGCAGCUCGGGCCUCACGCGAGGUCCAGUUGAACGGACUCCAGAGGGAACUGUGGACACCCCGCUGAGACCCCAGGCCGGCGCGCCCCUCUGCCGCUCAAAAACCGACGGUGCCCUCCUGUGGCGCCAGACGGGAUCUGCACAGCCUCUGGGCCAAGCGUUCGUGCCUCUAAAGUGGUCCCCCCAAAGGAGAAUUAUCCCAGAGUUCUUUGGACUUCACCUUCAAAAGUAGCCAAAUAGCCCUGGCUGGUGUGGCUCAGUGGAUUGAACACUGGCCUGCAAACCAAAGGGUCGCUGGUUCAAUUCCCAGUCAGGGCACAUGCCUGGGUUGUGGGCCAGGUCCCCAGUAGGGGGCGCAUGAGAGGCAACCACACAA